CAGUCGCCGCGGUAAUACGUAGGGUGCAAGCGUUAAUCGGAAUUACUGGGCGUAAAGCGUGCGCAGGCGGUUCGGAAAGAAAGAUGUGAAAUCCCAGAGCUUAACUUUGGAACUGCAUUUUUAACUACCGGGCUAGAGUGUGUCAGAGGGAGGUGGAAUUCCGCGUGUAGCAGUGAAAUGCGUAGAUAUGCGGAGGAACACCGAUGGCGAAGGCAGCCUCCUGGGAUAACACUGACGCUCAUGCACGAAAGCGUGGGGAGCAAACAGGAUUAGAUACCCCAGUAGUCCCUGUCUCUUAUAC
Molecule: ribosomal RNA, 301 nt
Filed under: uncultured bacterium
Lineage: Bacteria
Description: partial 16S ribosomal RNA
Rfam family: Bacterial small subunit ribosomal RNA
Source: RNAcentral